RNAcentral lists this ribosomal RNA (301 nucleotides) under uncultured bacterium. Its description in RNAcentral is "partial 16S ribosomal RNA". It matches the Rfam family "Bacterial small subunit ribosomal RNA", at positions 509 to 807 of the family's 1533-position model. The record is from RNAcentral.
CAGUCGCCGCGGGAAUACGAAGGGUGCAAGCGUUAAUCGGAAUUACUGGGCGUAAAGCGUGCGUAGGCGGUGAGUUAAGUCUGCUGUGAAAUCCCCGGGCUCAACCUGGGAAUGGCAGUGGAUACUGGCUCGCUAGAGUGUGUCAGAGGAUGGUGGAAUUCCCGGUGUAGCGGUGAAAUGCGUAGAGAUCGGGAGGAAUAUCAGUGGCGAAGGCGGCCAUCUGGGACAACACUGACGCUGAGGCACGAAAGCGUGGGGAGCAAACAGGAUUAGAUACCCGGGUAGUCCCUGUCUCUUAUAC